CGGGUGGAGCAGAUGGUAGCUCGCUAGGCUCAUAACCUAUAGUUCGCAGGCUCAAGUCCUGCUCAAUCAACCA
This 73-nucleotide transfer RNA is filed under the name Paracoccaceae bacterium. Its description in RNAcentral is "Rhodobacteraceae bacterium (subsurface metagenome) tRNA-Met". The stretch from base 3 to 64 matches the Rfam family "tRNA", at positions 6 to 65 of the family's 71-position model. Rfam says of the family: Transfer RNA (tRNA) molecules are approximately 80 nucleotides in length. Their secondary structure includes four short double-helical elements and three loops (D, anti-codon, and T loops). Lineage: Bacteria; Pseudomonadati; Pseudomonadota; Alphaproteobacteria; Rhodobacterales; Paracoccaceae. The record is from RNAcentral.